RNAcentral lists this ribosomal RNA (250 nucleotides) under Eubacterium ruminantium. RNAcentral's name for it is "23S rRNA. Bacterial LSU". It matches the Rfam family "Bacterial large subunit ribosomal RNA", at positions 2676 to 2925 of the family's 2925-position model. The record is from RNAcentral. Lineage: Bacteria; Bacillati; Bacillota; Clostridia; Eubacteriales; Eubacteriaceae.
CCUUAGUACGAGAGGACCGGGAUGGACGGACCGCUGGUGUACCAGUUGCAUUACCAAGUGCAGAGCUGGGUAGCCAAGUCCGGAAAGGAUAAACGCUGAAGGCAUCUAAGCGUGAAGCCAACCUCAAGAUAAGAUAUCCCACUCCCCUGAGGAGUUAAGACCCCUUGAAGACUACGAGGUUGAUAGGCACCGAGUGUAAGUGUGGUAACACAUUCAGCUGAGGUGUACUAAUAGGUCGAGGGCUUAUUCA